RNAcentral lists this unclassified non-coding RNA (1796 nucleotides) under Haliotis rubra (blacklip abalone). RNAcentral's name for it is "uncharacterized LOC124266548, transcript variant X2". The record is from RNAcentral. Lineage: Eukaryota; Metazoa; Mollusca; Gastropoda; Lepetellida; Haliotidae.
UCCGCAUGGUCUCGGGGUUGUAGCGGGAUAAAUUUCCUUUCUACACACUUAAAUUAGGCCAAACUUACGCCGACCAUAGAGUGAGUAUAAGAGCCAAGUUAUCACUGAUGCUUAACUAUUUAUAAAGACGUUCACCCGUUGUCAGCAUACUUGAUCUUGAUGAAGUAAACACAAUUCUAAUGUCUGCUGAUAUGUCUGUUCCGAGGGUAAUGCAAUAUAAGAUCAAAGGAACAUUGCUGUUAUCUCCCAACUAGCAAUGGUCAUAAUGGUGGCCCUCGCCCUCACGACACUGGCCAGUGUCCACGCAACUUCUCCCAAUGUUCGGGUCAAGAGAAGGCCUGUAGAUCAACCACAUGAAGGAAUGUGCUCCAACUUCUGGUGGGGUGGAAUUUCUAAAGUUCACUUUUACACCUGCUGUAACAACCUGGAUGAAGGUCCUAAUCCCUAUUGCGAUGGUCGCACCUAUCACAGAGCAUCUAAUGGAUCCUACUGUAAACCUGGUGGGUUUGACGGCGGGAACGGUGAACAACAUGAAUCUUACCGUUGUGGAGGAUGUGAUGGACAGGCCCGGGUAGCUGAGAAAUGCGAGCCAUGGCCUUCACUGGAUGUUGUAGGAACAUGCUGGGUAUUCACUAAGUGCUUCACAGACUUCUGCGAAAAGCGGUACCGAGUGAAUGGGUUAAACCUUGCAGUAAGGGAUAGGCCAGGAAUGCCAGACACCUGCUACAACGGAAAGUGUGAUGUCGGAGAAACUACAGACAACUGCCCAGUCGACUGCUGCUACACGAAAAACAAACAGUGUACCUGGGGUAACAAAUGUACGCAGCUAUUUUGUGCCACCCCGUCUUGUGGGGUGGGGUGGAGUGGAGGUGAUGGUGUGUUUACAGCUGGGACAUAUGGCAUCAAGAUCCUGGCUGCCGCUGUGCUAGUGCUGGGUGUCUCCAUUGUUUAUUUUUUCAGAAGGAAGAGGCAAUACAAGCGGGCACAGUCACACAAUGUUUAAAACAGAUUUUCUCUUGAUGAAUGUUUGAUAAAUGUACGUUAAUAGAUUUUUAACAAUUUGUAAAUAUGUUGCUUUCAACAAUAACUUAAUAUUCACAACGAUCGCUUCGGUAACAUGAAGUGAUAUGUAACAUUCUUAGUAUUUUCUUCUUUGAGAAAUAUUUUAGAAGUUGUGAAGAUGAAGGAAAACUUCUUUGGACAGUCAACCUCUGUGUUUCGGUGUAGUUACUAACACCGUUAUUAAGGAAGUGAUAAAAAGAGUUGAAAGAAGGAGAAUAUAUACAUAGCUGCAUUGUGAGUAUAUACAAUUGACAAGGUAGAUGUACAUUGUGAGUAUAUACAAUUGACAAGGUAGAUGUAGCAUUGUGAGUAUAUACAGUUGACAAGGUAGAUGUACAUUGUGAGUAUACAUAAUUGACAAGGUAGAUGUACAUUGUGAGUAUAUACAGUUGACAAGGUAGAUGUACAUUGUGAGUAUAUGCAAUUGACAAAGUAGAUGUACAUUGUGAGUAUAUACAGUUGACAAGGUAGAUGUACAUUGUGAGUAUACAUAAUUGACAAGGUAGAUGUACAUUGUGAGUAUAUACAGUUGACAAGGUAGAUGUACAUUGUGAGUAUAUACAAUUGACAAAGUAGAUGUACAUUGUGAGUAUAUACAGUUGACAAGGUAGAUGUACAUUGUGAGUAUAUAAAAUUGACAAGGUAGAUGUACAUUGGACAUCUAAUUAAUGAUUUGGGCAGAGUAGGUUGAAGUACACUGUGAUUGGUUGUGAUUAGAGGUUGAGUUUAUACAA